RNAcentral lists this long non-coding RNA (2234 nucleotides) under Ananas comosus (pineapple). RNAcentral describes it as "long non-coding RNA (ACOM_LNC018617)". Lineage: Eukaryota; Viridiplantae; Streptophyta; Magnoliopsida; Poales; Bromeliaceae. The record is from RNAcentral.
UAUAUAUAUAUAUAUAGAGAGAGAGAGAGAGAGAGAGAGAGAGAGAGAGAGAGUUCGGCUACUGUACUUUUAUGAGUGUUGGGUCGCUUAUACUCAUAAGUUUUCGACCCUUAAAUUUAUUCCAUUGAUCAUUUUCACCCGUUAGAUCAUAUUAUUCAACCAACUACCCACUCAACCUGACGGGACCAUUAUCAUUCUAGGUGGGAAUCACCAUCAUCCUAACCCCACAUCCCAGCAAUCAACGGUUAAAAAUUUAUGAGUACAAAGAGUCUAUACUCAUAAGAGUAUAGUAAGCUCAGCCUAUAUAUAUAUAUAUAUAUAUAUAUAAUUAGACUGGAAUACUAUUAAUAGUAAAAUUUUCUUUUUGCUAUCAAGUUUUUAAUCCUUGGAUGAAAAAUUGUAGGGUUAGGAUGAUAUUAGUCAGUUAGAGUUGAGUGGUCCCCCUAGGGUUGAGUGGUCUCCACUGGGUUAUAGUAUUUAAUCCAAUGGUUAGAAAUGAUGAAAAGAGUUGAUCCAAAGGCUAAAAAACUGGUAGCNAGUAUUUGAAGUACCUAGAAAAUAAAUUUUAUGAUUUUACGAUAUCAUUUGCCUAGUGAACGAAGGGGCUCAAAAUCAACGGCUGAAAAUAAAAAUCUUACAAAAUGUAAUAAUAUGAUAUUAAAAUUUUAAAUCAAAGAUAUUGAUCUUGUUUUAUAUAGUAUAAAGAAUUUUCUAUCAAAAUUUCACGUGAUUUGGAUAUUUCUACACCGUUAAACUUGCAAACGGCUCACUACGGCCAUUGAAAUUUGAUGAUUUUGAGCUCAUUCGAUCACUAGGCAAAUGAUAUCGAAAAAUAAUAAAAUUUAUUUUCUAGAUACUCCAAAUACUCUAAAUCAAGUUUAACGGAGCCGAUCGAUGAUUCGAAAGUAGCAAUAUCGAAAACGAGCUGGAAGCACGGAAGGCUCCGUGCUUCCGAUAGCAUAGUAGCCUCACUCUAUAUAUAUAUAUAUAUAUAUAUAUAGAGAGAGAGAGAGAGAGAGAGAGAGAGAGAGAGAGAGAGAGAGAGAGAGUUGAACUAGAAUACUAUCGAUAGCAAACGAGUUUCGUUACCAUUCAUUUAUUUUCGAUGAUGGAGCGUCUAAAUCGACGAUCGGCACUGUUGAACAUGAUCUAUACCACUUGAAGUGUUUAGAAAUUAAAUUUCAUACAUUUUCGAUAUUGUUCUCUUAUUCAUUAAGUGGACACAAAAAUGAACUACUGGAAAAUAAUAUUCUUUAAAAAAUGAUGAUAGGAGUCUUGUAAUCAAAAUCAAGAGUAUAGAUCUUAUUUCAAAUAGUUUAAAUAAUUUUCUAACAAAAAUUCAAUUGAUUUGGAUAUCUUUACGCCGUUAAACGAGAAAAUGCCUCAUAUCGACCAUUAAAAUUACAAAUUUUGAGACCCUUUGAUCAUUAGGCAAAUGAUGUCGAAACGAUUUAAAAUUUAAUUUCUAAACACUUCAAGUGGUAUAAAUCAUGUUCAAUGGUGCCGAUCAUCGAUUUGGGGGUUCUAUCAUCGAAAAUAAAUAGAUGACAACGGAGCCCGUUUGCUAUCGAUAGUAUUCUAGCUCAACUCUCUCUCUCUCUCUCUCUCUCUCUAUAUAUAUAUAUAUAUAUAUAUAUAUAUAUAUAUAUAGGCCAUGGCUACUGUACUAUUAUGAGUAUUGGAGCCCUCGUACUCAUAAGUUGUUUUCAAUGAUGGAGCUUCCGAAUCGACGAUCCACUCCGUUAAAUAUGAUCUAGAGUAUUUGAAACUUCUAGAAAAUAAAUUUCGUAAAUUUUCGAAAUCAUAAUAAAGUCCAUCAAGUCGGCAUAAAAUGAAUGGUCAAAAUCGAACGACGUUCUAAAAAAGCAUGAUCGGAUCCUUCAAUUCAAAAUCGGAGUUAUUGAUCUUUAUCUAUGUAGUGAAUAGAAUUUUCUAUCAAAAAUUCAACAAAUUUCGAUUCUUUUACACCGUUAAAUUAGCAAGUAUCCCAUACCGGCCGUUAAAAAUGGUCAAAUUUGUGACCUCUUAAUCGUAAGGUAAAUGAUGUCGAAAAAUUAUAAAAUUUGAUUUCCAGAAGUUUUAAAUGUUGUAAAUAACGUUCAACGGUAUGGAUCGUCGAUUCGGAAGCUCUAUCAUCGAAAAUAAUUUAUGAGUACGAGGGCGAUCGUACUCAUAAUAGUAUAGUAGCCGGACCCUAUAUAUAUAUAUAUAUAUAUAUAUAUAUAUUAUCUGUA